Molecule: long non-coding RNA, 595 nt
Filed under: Hordeum vulgare
Lineage: Eukaryota; Viridiplantae; Streptophyta; Magnoliopsida; Poales; Poaceae
Description: long non-coding RNA (HVUL_LNC013782)
Source: RNAcentral
UUCAUAUCGACUAGUUAUAUGACAUGUCUUUUUUCCUAUAUGACGAUCGUAUGAUGGAUCGGUAAUAGUUUGCAUGAAUAUGUCUUGAGUGCCUAACGUUAUUACUAAAUGGUCUGCGCAGCUGCUUUCCGGCCGGGCACCUAUCAAGACAAGAGUGCACAACGCCAUGGAUGUUGCCCUGCACCUCCACAGCAUCUACAGGAUGAUGUCUAUUUAUGUCACGCAAGCAAAGAAAGAUAUUGAAAGCCAGGUGGAAAGCUGGACGCACACCCACCUGGAGCAAAUAGUCAGAGGUUAUAUAAUGAUGAGUGACCUUUGUGUGUCAGAGAAGUUGCUAAUUCUAAAUUCGUUUUUUGGGUCUAGACGCUCAUGAUCUUGGAUGAAGCGCACCUGGAAAGAAUAAGCUGUAUGGCUAUCUUGCAUAGUUGAUCCCUUAUGGACUUUAUAUGGAGCCGACAUCUUCAAACAAGGGGCCUGCUACGCAUCUAUCGGCGUAUGUUUACUAAACAUUCAUCACUUGAAGGGCCGUCCCAUCUACGCGUAGCCAUCCGAUCUGCUCCGGCCAGGCAUCUUAUAAUUCCUGAAAUGAUGGCUG